CAUCUCUGAGACAGUCUGCAAAGACCUGACGGUGAAAUCACUGAAACCAUGAUCAAGGUUGUGUUUCUGCUUGGAUGCCUGCUGAGCCUUGCUCUGGCAAAUCCUAAUGACUCAGCACACGAGCGCGAUGCACGUUCUUCAUCUGGGGAGGGGACUUUUGGGACCCUAAAUCGUCUUACCCUGCUACUACCUCUUCUACAGAAUCCACUACUUCUGCAGAAUUCAACGCUCCUUGCUUUGAUUCUUGCUGCUAUACGAUAAGCUGCUUCUUAACCUACAGCUAUUACUGCCACAAAGGAUGAACUGAAAAUCAAUGAACAGUGAAUAAAAACCUAUGUUGAAUUGCACUGGGGUUCUUUUGUCAUUUAUUUACAGGAUUAU
Oreochromis aureus is the source of this 381-nucleotide long non-coding RNA. RefSeq lists it as uncharacterized. Lineage: Eukaryota; Metazoa; Chordata; Actinopteri; Cichliformes; Cichlidae. The record is from RefSeq and is a predicted model, not a curated record. The transcript has 4 exons.